Molecule: long non-coding RNA, 11932 nt
Organism: Catharus ustulatus (Swainson's thrush)
Lineage: Eukaryota; Metazoa; Chordata; Aves; Passeriformes; Turdidae
Exons: 2
Source: RefSeq, a predicted model, not a curated record
GCGUGGGAGGGAGGGUGGGAAAAAUUACUAGGAGAAGGUCAUUUGAAAACUCCAUUGGAAUAGAAGUCAUGGUUUGUCAUUUCCAGAACUAGAAGUGUCAUUUUGAAGUUUUUUUUUUUUCUCUCCUGUGUGUACUUGGUUAUUUGAAUAUGAACUUUUCUAUGAUGGACUCUAAAUAUAAAUAUAUGAAAGUAUAUAUAUUGUCAGCUCCCAAUGAUUUGUAUCAAUUUUCAUCAUCCUAUAAUUAUCAACAAAGUGAUUGACAUAUGUAUAACCAGAAAUUGGAUUGGAGUGCUAGGAGAAACUCUGAGGGUGCGGAUUUUGUGCUGCUGGGUACGAUGUCCGUGCUAACACUGGAUGCUUUUGCUUUGCAAACUGGAUCUACUUCCUAACACUUCACCGUUGCUAGAGAUCAUGAAACUCAGGAGGAGAAAGAAAAUAGCAGAGGAAGUCAAUGCAUCCACCCAGAUGAUUGCUUAGAUUGUUUAUUCCAGCUUGGGAAUUCAUCACCUGUCUGGAUAACGUUAAACCUGUACUUGAUACUUGUGUUGAUCAUUUCUGUAGUACUUUGUCUUUAAAAUAUUUCUUCCUUUGUUACAAAAUUAUAUAAACUGCACGGAGCUUUUGUGCAGCUGUGUUGGUUCAGCAGUUUUAUUCUGGGCCCUAAUGAGGAAAAAAUGGUCUCAAACUCCCCUUUUGAGUUGUAGAAAUAAGUUAGAAUUGUAACACCACUGACAACAGCACAAGAUCUGAAUUUUAAUUUGCAAGGAUGAGCAGCUAUGUAAUAUCUCUGAAUUGCACUUGCUUAAUUUAUAGACCUACUACUGGGGAAUUUUCUUCCAUUGUGUUUCUUUAAAUGUAGCUUUGAAUGCAUUCAGGCUUGACUCUGGGAAUCAGCCUGGAUACCUGCAUAGCCUAUGUGUUUUUAACCAUAGAACUUCUGCAUUUUACAGCUUUGGUCCAGCUGAUGUCAUUUUUCUAAAACAGUACUGUCAAAGGUAACCCCAACUUCGACCUGUCCUUUCUUAUGUUUGCAUAGACUAUAUACUUUUUUUAUUAAAAGCAAAUGCUUCAAUGAGCUUUUAAAAUGAGAAGGACAGUAAAUAAGCAUUGAUGAGUGAGACAGCAUUGACAAAAAUUAGUGCAGACAUGGAGUGCCAGGAAGUGGUUUUGGAAAGAUGGAUCUCAGAAAAAUAAAUAUAAGGGUUGAUCAUAAGGAGAGGAAAAACAUCUGCUGUACUGUAGUAUGCUGGUACAGUCCUCCUCUUUCUUUGUCCUGGAAGUAGAGUAGUUCCUAAUUUUUCAUUUUCCCUUGGCUGUACCUAUGCACCAAGUAUAGAGAUGGUACUCAUGGGCAAGGUCACUUCCCUGUACCCUAUGUGUCUGAAGUUAUGACUGCUUACCUUUUGGAUGGGGCCCUUAAAUCCAGUUUUACCUAUCCAUCAUCAUCUGACUUUUUAAUGAAUAAUUAAUACUUCUCUCCUUAUCCACAAUCCACUUUCUCCAAAACUUGCCUGUUUUAAAGGCCAGACAGUGGAUAAACUAUUUUCAGCUUUUAGUCUCUUCCUGUAGCCUUUUGACCGAGCUGAGAACUUGAAGAACAUGUUUCAUAAACAUAGCAAUAGAUGCCUUCAUGUUUUGGGAAACAAAUACUGAAAUAUGAGCUCAGCAGCAAACCAGUUGUUUGAGGCUUUGAAAAACAGAAUUUAAAAGGAAGUUAAAAAAACCCAACCACUCACCUUCAACUGUGGAGUUAUUUCCAUUCACAGUUGUGAUCUGAUUGAGGGUGUUACUAACUGAAAUCAGCAGCUGCAACUCUGAAUAUUGACCUCACCUGCCUCUUAUCUCUGAAUCAGAAUUGCUGGUAAAAAAAUUUUUAAAAAUCCAUAUUCCAUUGCUUAAUGACUACAACAUUCAUAAAGUAGGAAUAUUUUUUUCAGGAAUUCCCCAUGGAUGUUGUGCAUAGGGGUUUUAAUAUAGGAGCAGUAUGCUUUUCUUUGAGAGAACAGACAAGAAGUGGUAUCCUUUUGUUAUGUUUACAUGACAGUGUGCCAAAGUUACUGUGAUUUUAGGGGUUUUUAAUGCUGAAGAAAUUCACCCAUUUGAAAGAUAAAUUAAGAGCCCUUGAAGCAAAUUGUGAUGGAGUCUCCUGAGAACUUUUCUUACCGUCUUCAGAACAAGAAUGGUGAUACUGUUUAUUUUGCAGAUUUUCAAAACAUAGUUUGGAAACUGUUUUUUUCAGUUGGUUUGAAAAGUCUGCUGUACAGAGCUUGUACUUGUUCAUUUUAUAGAUGGAAACCAUCCUUGAAAAUUUGUUUAACUUAAAUAAAGAAGAACGCUUUAUAGAUAAGUGUGUGCUGGUUAAUGGAAUUGAGUAAAGGCAGUAAAAGCCUGCCUGGAGCUUGUAGAUUGAAGUAGUUUUCAAACACUUCAUUUCACUUGGUUGCUUCAGAAAGUUUCUCUUCUAUAGGUGUGUAUAUAUGGGUGUAUAUUUGUAUUGAUGAAAAGAGUUUUUUUUGUGUGUGUUUAAUACUGUGAUUUUGAGGAAAUUGUCUUAUUUUAGAAGUUGUGGACAGAGCUAAUGCUGGCUGUAUAGUCACCUGAAAAUAUAUUGUCAAGGCACUCCCCCUCCUGCCUCUCUAGGCCUGAGCUGCUGGAGAUUCCUGCUGUGCCUCUCUUUGCUCCCAGCAAUCGCCGUGCCAGGGCCCGGUGCAGAUGCAGCUCCCAACCCCUUGGGACACCUGUGCUCAUUGUGUUCAGGGGCUCCUGUGGUCUCCCUGCUCUCUUGUACAGGGUGGGCAUUCAGGUGCCUGCGCUGCACAACAUGAUCCAUGCAAAUAUUUAAACCAAAAAAUAGUUUUUCAUUUUUUUAAUAAGGGUUUUUUUAGAGGGCAAACACUCCACCGGUCUUGUUUAAUGAGUUUGAAAAUGAAACUGCACCAGGACAGCUGGGGAGGGAGCAAAUUCUACUUGGGAAGUGUGGAAGGAGAAUUUUCCUGCUGGCUUAAGAGUAGCUGGGGAUGCCAACAGGGCAUGGCCUGGCAUCCCCUUGGCAGAGCUGGGCUGCAAAGCUAAGUGGGGUGGAGAAGGGACAGCGUUCCAAAAAUCCCCUCUCUGACCAUCUGUGCAGCCUCAGAUACCACAGGUCAGCUGUUGGGGCAUAUCAUUCUUUCCCCCACCCUAUGGCAUACAGGGUUAGGUUCUUUGCUCCUGGUCUAAGAAACUCAGCUUUGCAGUCAACCCCAAGGGCAGGAUCAGCCAACAGAACCUGCAGAAGCAUCUAUAGGAAAGAAUGAAACCAUUCCCACUCUUUUAAUUGUACUGACAGGAAGAGUUUUUGCCUAGCAGCCUGUGGGAGAGGACGAGUACAGACUCUCUGUGUAGCAGAAAUCAAUGACUUUCAAAAUCUAAAUUAAAUCAAGGAAAUAGGUCUUUAAUAUUAAUGGCUGGCAAAAAUAAAAAGGCCUUGUCAAGGUGUAGUAAACAAAAGGAACAGUUUUCCAUCUGCAGGUUGUACUUGAGAAUUCAAAUGAGUAUUCUCUAUCUUAAAUGCCCUUUAACAUGUGGAAGCUGGCAGGUGAUACCUAAAGAUAAUUACAGCGGCCUUCUGGCAAUAGAAGCUUUUAAUCUGAUCCAGUGUUAAAUGUAGGAGUCUAUUAUGUCUCUGCCUAGAGUUUUCCAUGGUUCUGGUGUGGACUGUUCUCAGUUUACUUCCUGGUGUAAGUAGCAGGACUGAAUGAACCAUCCAGCAAAUUUUGCAUUGCUGCUGACCAGAGCUCCCUUGUUGCCACAUUACCUGAGUACAUAGAUCUGAAAAAAAGCUUCCCAUUCAUUUUCUGGAAAUUCAGGUCAUGCUUUUUAGCAGAAUUUUAUGCAUGGGUUUACUCUGCUGUCUUGUCACUGUGCAUAAAAUCAGGUGUCUUUAUACUGCUCUUAUAAGGGAAUGUUUGAGCUUUACUCCUUGUGGAUUAACAAAAGCAUUUAAAAUCUUAAAUUUUUAAAAAUAUGCCUGUCUGUAUUUGGAAAGGAAGUUGAAUUUUGGGAGCGAUAAAAAGGUUGCAACCUCCUUGAGGUAAGGAUUUUUUGUCUUGUUUGAAGUGGAUCCUAUAGAGCAUUGCCCAGUUCCAUUCUGGAGUGUUACUGCCAUAGCCUUAGUUAUUUUAAAAUGUUUAGUUUUUGUACACAAAUAGCGACAUUUAUUUUGCCGUAAGUUUAUUUUAAAUGUAGAUGCUGUAUCAAUUUACAUGGCCACAAGUGGCACACAGGCAUCACCCGUGUCCUCCUUCAAGCCUGAAACAGUGAAUAAUUUCAUAUCAAUAACUUCUUACAGAACACUCUAGCAAAAGGCUUAUUCCUCUACAGAAUCAUUUCAAGUGAAUGAAGCCACUGGAAAAAAACUCUGGGAUAAUAAGCUAUGAUUACAGAAUGAGCACAAAUGUCAGGGUUGCAGCUUUUGUUAGUCUGCACAUUUUAUUUACAGCUUAGCAUCCAGCAGCUAUUUUAAGAUCUGCUAGUAAUCAAGCUGAAAAACUGAGAAUAAAGUCAGUCCACAGAUGUUCUCUCUAUAGCCCUCCAAGAGGUCUGAAUGGGUGCAAAAUACCCUUUUGAUUUGACUUGAUUUCUUGCAGCACGGCAGCCAGUUGCUGCUCUGUAUGCAGAAAGAGGGAUCUGUUUGAUUUCAAGUUCCUAUUUCUACCCCACAGAUGUUUUUAAUCCAAGGAUUUUUGGAGGUAUUUUUAAUUAAAAAGGAUCUGGAAGUAGCAAAUAGCUUUCUGUCAAACCUGUUUUAAUUAAAGGUCACCUUUGGAAGUCUGGUAAAAACAAGGUUAGAAAAUUACUACCGAGGGUCUGUUGUGCUCUGGUAGUAUGAUCAGCACCACUUCUGUAAAAUACUCUUCUCAACUUUUGUGCCACCUCUCUCCCUGUCCAGCAGGAUGGUUUUGUAGUGAACAGAGUUGGAUUCCUGGUGGCAGCUUUGUGCUCAGCUGAGCCAGCCUAUUUGUUGCUGCUCACGGGGAAAGGAAUGCUGAUCCUGCUUCUCCUCUCUUGGAAUAGUGUUUCUGCCCAUUCUAUAAGACAAUAUAGGGAAGGCUGGCAAAAACAAACAAACAGAAAAAAGAAAAGAACCAACAACCCAAACACAAAGUGUUCUCACUUUUGGUAGCUGAAAGCCCUUUGAGCUUGGCUUAAUUAGACCAUAAAAUCAAGUCUUAUGUUUGUAUAAGAGAGACUGGCAUGAAGGAUGCUCUGGUUUGCCUUCCAGUUGAGAUGCCUAUUGUAGUAGUAAUAAGAAUAACAACAACUUAUGCCAGAACAGCCUUAUUGCCAUAUCUAAAGCCACCAGCACCUGUAGUAUCAAGAGGAGGAACAGGGGUGAGAGAGACGAAAAGAUUUUAUGUUUUUCAUCAAGGUCUUGGUAGCACCAAGGCAGGUGGUAGGAACUGAUGCUCUGGAGGGCCUGUCAGUUUGCUCAAGGAACAUCCCCAGAACUGUUUGUCCACCCAGGAAUCUCUGUGGUUCCCAUUUUACAGAGCAGGAUUAGGUGCUGGAAUGGAUCAAAGUAUUUGCAUAUCAUGCUGGUGUAUCUUAAGAGGGGAAAAUAGGCACAGAUAUAGCUCAAUUACAGGCCAAGUGGCACAGAGUGGAUGUCAGGGGCCAGUGUUUUCCCUUCUAAAUCUGAAGUUCUUUCAUCUUCAAGGAGCAGGAAUUGUCCCAUUUUGAGCUAGAAAGGCAAGGUGGCUGCACAAGAAGAGGUUAGGUCAUGAGCAGUAAGGAAUAUAUGAAUAGAGAGUUAACUCAUGGCUGUUCUUUACAAGUACAUCUUUAUUUUUAAAAAAUAUGUUUCCAGGUACCAGGCUUAGGACAAAAGCACUUCAUAUUUCUCCAGUGGAAACCAGGGCUGUAAAACAUGCAAAUGUAUAAAUGUGCACUGGGAUGUCUCUAAGCCAGAGAUUGAUGGGGGCUUGAAGGGCAGGUGAAGGUAAUACUGCUUGGUUUUAAUUCCAUUCCUUUGGUCUUUCCUUAGGCAAUUGGUUACUGGUUUAUUCAAUCCUUUGGUCCAUGCUGGCUCACAUUUUCCACCUGAAGUGUCCCGAGGCUGGACAAACACAUGGAUGCACUGAGCACCUUUGGAGCACAGCAGGCAAGAAUAGAGAGUGCAGCACCAGGAAUGUGCCAAGAGAUGGUGCCAGGUAGCAUAAAAGCCAUUUGGUUAUUUGCAACACAGGUGCAGAUCUGGCUGGGACCAGGGGCCAUAAAUCCAAUGACACAACAGGUAGGGUGAGCACAUGGGGGAAAAGCAGGGUCUGGCAUGUCUGGUGAUUAAACUUGGCACAGGCUGAGGCUGGGUCCCACCCAUGGAGCUGCAGGACAGCAUUUCCAGCUCCCUGGGGUUUGGGCUGUGGUAGGGCAGCUCCCUUGCAACAUCUGCUCUCCCUUGUUCAGAGGGACCCUGGUCAUCACCCCUGCAGGCUGCUCUUUGGGGAAGCAGUCAGGGAAGAGUCCCUCCCAAGCCUGUAAGCUGUCCAGGAUCCAUGAUUUACCACUGGCCUGCUGAACCACCACUGUACAUUGAAAUUUGGUGGUGAUGCUACCAGAAAAAUCAUGAGAAACAGAUCAUAUGGCCUGUGGGGAAAAGUUUCUGAAUUUGUUUUUCUUAUCACAUGAGCAAUAGAAAGCUGUUGCUAGUAGUCACUGGGUCCACUUGAAUGUCUGUGCUUGGUGUGUGUUUGUGUGUGCUUGCCCCAGGCCAGGAGGGCUUUUUUCUGGUUCAAAAAAGCAGUUCUAAAAUCACUGUAGUGGACCAUGCCUUGAAAUUGGCUGCUGUCAUCUCAGGCAAGAGAAUGCUGCUGUGUAUGGAUGAUUGUUUUAAGCUGUCUAUGGCCAGUUUAUUGCACUGGCCAAGAAGAGGCCACAGAUGUUUAACAGCUGGUCUGAGUCCUACUGAAGUAUCUUUCAGAUCCUCCAGGGUCACACACCUCAAGCUCCUGGCUGCAGUAACAGUUUUUCUUCAUUAAAUGUGCAAGUAUUUAUUCUAUUUUAGUAAGUUUAUUAAACCUGACUUGCAGUAUUUCAUAGCACUACUUUGCUCAGCCUGGCUGCAAACUGUGGGUGAUCAUCUGUGACCAAUUUAGUAAAUACUUGACAUUACCUGGUGUCUGGAAAGACAAACUGUGAAACUCUGCAGUGGCACUUUGUAAAUUACUUUACUGAACAGAGCAGUGCUCUACCUGCUCAAUAUUAAGUACAGGAUGGGAGUGAAAAAAAAUGUGAUUAUCUGAACACAGAAAUGCUAUGCUGAUGUUAUGCCAAGCUACUUGUAGGGAUGUCUCUCUUCUACGCAGUACCAGAAGUAGCUGUGGGUUUUAGGUGGUGAUGGAGAGGACUGAGAAAAGAUUAGUUGGAAUGUCAAGGAGAACAGUACACAUACUCUGGAGGAACACCGGCAGGUACAGAAUUGCAUUUUCCUUUGCAGGUGUUGGAUGGGGUCUUUCUUCUGUGGCUGGGUGCAAAUACAAUUGCUUAUGCUUGGAGAUCAACUUUUCCAGUCCAUAUGUCCAAUGUAUAACUAUGCCCAUUAAUUAAUGUGUUUGUCUUUAUCUCCAACAGUUUCAACCUGAAAAGGCUGGGAUACUGUUAGACUAGUAGACAAUGAACUUUUGCAGUUCCUGAGAGUGAUUUGCAAUUUAUUCUGGCUGGCUGCCUGCAGAUGCUAGUCUUAUUCACAGCAAUGAAUGUCUCUCCUCUCCCCACUUUCCCUCAAACCUUUCCAUUUUUUGGAGAUUAUUAUUUGGCAUCAUUGUAGCUGUUUCUAAAUUUUGUGUGUGUCCAGGAGAGAUGGAAGAGGUUUACUUUGCUGUUUCCCCAAAGGGUCCAAGACAAUGUUGCUAUCUUACAUCCUGCCUUGUUGCCCUUGGGGAGUCUGAAUCUGGCAGGAGGAAUAGCUGACAUUUCUUUUAAGAUUGCACUCCAGCCUUGAGCCACAGAAGUAGAAAAAGGAGCAUAUUUUGGCUUUGCACCUCAGUGUGUUCACGCUGCAGUUGUUACCAGCUGUCUCCAGGCUAGUGCAGGGCAGUGACUGCACUGUGGGCGGUGAGCCCGUCGGCUCAGGGGAGCUGAUUCUCAUCCAAGUUUGUGGAUUGCCAAUUCCCCAUGAAUCUGAGAACCUCCCUUGCUGCUGCUCUUGCUUCUUGGAUGAAGGACAGACUGCAGAUUCCCAGGCAAAACUUGUGACAGGAAAUGCAAUCUGCAAAAAAAACCCUGAUAAAAUGUAUUAAUCCCAUUCCGGUAUCCCUGGUGCAGGUGUUCCUGAAGAAUCCUGUCCAAGUCUUCACCUGGAGAAGUGAGAAUAUCAGAGAAGCAAGAGAGGUUUCUGGCUUCUCAAUUCACAUCACCUUUUGUGUAUUGAUUUCUUAAACUCUCAUUCCAAAAGACAAAACUGUGACUGUGCUGUAAUCUAAGGAACUGCUGCAUGAAGAGCAUCUCUGAAGAGAGAGAGGAGAUGGCUUUGCUUUGCAGGGAUCUGAUGAGAUUUAUUACUGCCUGUAAAGUGAUUUUUCAAAUCGUGGGUGAGGGUGCUUUAGGAGGGUCUGCUUUGACUUGGUGACAGUUGGGGAUAUCCUUCUCUGCAGUGUCUGUGAGGUGGCAUUUUUAUUCUCUCUGUUCCUCUCUAGGAACAGAGGGACAAGUGGAACAGGAUAUUAGAAAACACUGCAAAAGGGAAUGUUAAGUUUGGCUCAAUUAAUAAAGACCAUGCUGUUGGAAUAAAUUACAAAUUCUCCUGAGAAUAGCUUCACGGGAGAUUGAGUUACUGCAGGUCCUGGCCUGAUCUGGGUGGAUAGCAAUGUUGUAAAUGACAGCACCAAGGUAACGUGUGUGUCUGUGUCAAUCAGAUCCUGGGCUUCAUAAUUUCUUAAAUUAAAUUCCUUCUUUUAUUCAAUUAGUGUGUUAAAGAUGAUUUACAUUGUUUGUAGUACCUCUGCUGGUGGGCCUGAUCAGACACAGCAUUAGCUCUGGUCACAGCACAUCCAGGGAAGAAAGUGCUGUGCUGUGCUGCUGGGGGUGACCCUCCAGCCAUGACAGGGAACAAAGAGAAAUUCUCAGCUGGUUUAUGACACAGCUGCGCAUCUUGUCUGCUGUGUAGCUGGUCUUGCUGCAGGGCAUUGUAAUCCUCUCCUUGGGUCCCUCCUGCUGUGUGUGCCUGUGGAGCCAUGUGGGGAGCCACCUGUGCAGGGUUGUUCCUGUCUCGGGGAGCCCUGUCCUGAGCCAGGGCGUGGUUGUGCCAAUCCACCACCCUGAUGAUGCACCUACACAUUUCCAGCCUCUGCACUCCUUUGGGAUGAGCCAGCCUCCACUCUGAGCUGCAGGCACACACUGUAGUUUGACUGCUUCUUGAGCGUGGAUGUGACAUCUCAGAGCAGAAACCCAUGAGUUCCUUCCCUGCUGCUCAGCAGUGACUGUUGUGGUGCAAAAAACACAGCAGAGUCUAUUUCUUGUGUGAAGGGGCCAGACUGUCUUUCAGACCAGCAUUAAGGGCUGCUGAUGUCUCUACUUACGUGUUGAAAACAUUUCUGAGAUUUGGCUGUGUUGAACAGCCAGAAUCUCUUGCCUGCUCCCUUUUGUGAUACUAAGCAUCUUCAGAAAAAUAAUCCCCUUCUAGGGACUGGGUCCGUAAAGACAUCAAAUAGGUCAAGGGGCUUGUUGCUGAUUGCUUCUGUUAAUGUUUUAUUUUCCCUGGAAUUCUGGCUUUUUCUUAGAACAGCUUAGGUGCAAACUAAAUUCCUUCAUGUGGAGAACACAAGAUGCUGUGAAGAAAGACCUGUGCAAAUCAGACAUGGCAGCCCGAGAGAUCCUGACCAGAGGUCAGUGUUGAGCCACACUCACACCUGGAGAUGCUGGGGCAGCCCAGUCCCAGUGGAGCUUUUGCAGUCACGGGGAAAGGAGGGACACAGCCCAUCUUUAUUGUGGUUUUUGGCAAAGUCUGACUGUAACCCCAACAUGUGUUCUCCUGCAAGGCUUCUGGUGCCUUGGUGGAAUAAGGUUUAAACCAGGUCCUAGCAACUUGCUGACUUGGAGCUAUGAAACAGCAGCCAUCUGCAGAUCACACGGGUCUGGUUUUGCCUGCAAAUGUCACUCAUUUGGCAUGCAGGUCAUGGGUUUGGUGCAGACAAUGCUCUCCAGGAAGAGCCUGAGCAGUGAGGACAAAGGGCUGGUUCUGUUUAGCAGAGAUAUUUGAGAGCUGAGAGCUCUCCAUGUCCUUGUGUCCACCCUGCUCUGCCCUCCCAGGUGGCUGGGAAACGGAGUUGGGAUGGCACUGGGGGGACAGUGGUCCCCUUUCCUAUGCCUGUGUGCAGACUUCACUGAAAGGCUUUUUCAAGUCCUUUGUCCCCGUGGCUGGAUAAAGAUGGUAGGUUUAUUAUUCUAAUGGUCUUAGAGUGUGAACCUGUAACUUGUCUUGCAGUAUAUUCUCUACAUCCUUUCACUUACACACCCAGAGCAUGACCAAAUAUCUUCCCCACCUAUUUCAGAAAAGAACAAGACAGGAAAAGCAACGGGUAAUAUAUCUGACUGUAUUUCAAAGUUGUUGAUUGUAAACAAACUUUGUUGAAGAAAUAAAAUCACAUGACAAGAUAUCAGAGUGAUACUAUAAAUCCAUUUUGUUAUUGUUGCCACACUUCACAUUUUUGGAACUUGGAAUUCAGCUUAUGGUGUACAAAAGUUGUAAAAAUUUAUUGCAAGCGUGCCUUUGUGUAGAACAAAACUGGUGUCACAAAAGUAGUUCCCUGUCCCAUGCAGAAAUACAGUUGUGUGUCUCUUACCGUGAAGAGGUCACACACCUGCAUUUCCCGAAAGACUUGGCUGUUAUAAAAUUGCUCUGAGAUUUUUUAAAAGAAAAUGAAAAAAAAAAAGUAAUUUGCAGUGUAUACUUUACCUAUGUGAUUUAUGCUUUCAACAGAAAUCUUUAGAAUUGUAAAGAAUAUGGAGCUUUGCAACAGAACUGCAGUUGCUGAUGGUGUGAGCACAGCCCAGUGGUCUUGAAAGCACUCAGCCAGCUAAGGCCCAUCUUCGCCUUUGGAACUGUCUCUGCAUUUGAUGGAAUGUAAGUUGCACACAUUGAAAAAUAAAUGAAAACAAAAUGUCAAGGGGGAGACUCCUUCUCCAGAAUCCCCAUUGUUCCUGUUUCUACUGUGGUGCUUCCACAGUCUGUAGCUUCCAUGCUGUGCUGACAUGCAGCAGUGCUGUGACUCCAAGGCUGAUGACUACUGAACAUGUACAGUCUAAGGAAAGGCGUGGGGUGAGGCCAGGGAUGUAGGUAGCCAAAGCAGGGUUUGUGCAGACUAGUUAUGUUAAACAUCAGCCUUUUCUUUUAAUUCAAAGGUAUCAGGAGAGGGGGAUAUACAUGCUGGAAUGAUGAGAGUUAGAAGGGAUCACCUGGCUCUUCUCUCUCCACAUGCCCAUCCUCUGAACUUUCCUCUGCCUUCUCAAACCCACUGUUGCCCUUGAACUUCUCCUUGUGUCAGACCAUGCUGAUUAGCCUCACCUUUAUAGGAUCAGAUUAAUCACUGUCAUAAACCUGAGUUUUGUCUCUCUGAUAUCACCCCCAGUCCAUGGGAUCAAACUAUUUUUUUAUUUCAGUACUUAAAUUGCAGGCAAAGAUUUGGUUUAUAUCUAGAAGAAAAAUCCAAGCUGCAAAAUAAGUCCAAGAGACCUGCAAACUGUUUUUCAUCAAAUGAGCGACUGUGUUUUAUAGAGACAUGCAAAUUGUUCAGCAGUCACAUUUUGCAAAUGCCUUGACAUAGAUUAUUUGAGAACAAGACCACAAAGUUACUUUGACACAAGUAGGUUGGGGUUCUGGACAGCUGAACCUAGUGCACUGUGUUUUGCUUUUCAAUUUCUAGGCUUUUUGGGAGGAACUAGUGGAAAUAAAUAAAAA